GGUGAACGCUGACAGAAUGCUUAACACAUGCAAGUCGAUGGGGAAGUGGUGCUUGCACCAUGGUAACCAUGGCGGACGGGUGAGUAACGCGUAAGGAACUUGCCUGCGGGACUGGGAUAGCAGCAGGAAACUGCUGAUAAUACCGGAUAAGGUCAUUAAGCUGCAUAGCUUAGUGAUGAAAGGAGACGCCUGCGGAGAGCCUUGCGUCCUAUUAGCUAGUUGGAGGGGUAACGGCCCACCAAGGCGAAGAUAGGUAGCCGGCCUGAGAGGGUGGACGGCCACAAGGGGACUGAGAUACGGCCCUUACUCCUACGGGAGGCAGCAGUGGGGAAUAUUGGACAAUGGGGGCGACCCUGAUCCAGCAAUUCUGUGUGCACGAAGACGGUUUUCGGAUUGUAAAGUGCUUUCAGCAGGGAAGAAGGAAGUGACGGUACCUGCAGAAGAAGCGACGGCUAAAUACGUG
RNAcentral lists this ribosomal RNA (463 nucleotides) under uncultured bacterium. RNAcentral's name for it is "partial 16S ribosomal RNA". It matches the Rfam family "Bacterial small subunit ribosomal RNA", at positions 28 to 507 of the family's 1533-position model. The record is from RNAcentral.